This 340-nucleotide unclassified non-coding RNA is filed under the name soil metagenome. RNAcentral describes it as "partial contains 5.8S ribosomal RNA, internal transcribed spacer 2, and large subunit ribosomal RNA". The stretch from base 1 to 120 matches the Rfam family "5.8S ribosomal RNA", at positions 35 to 154 of the family's 154-position model. The record is from RNAcentral.
GAUGAAGAACGUAGCGAAAUGCGAUAAGUAGUGUGAAUUGCAGAAUUCAGUGAAUCAUCGAAUCUUUGAACGCACAUUGCGCCCUUUGGUAUUCCAAAGGGCAUGCCUGUUCGAGCGUCAUUUGUACCCUCAAGCUUUGCUUGGUGUUGGGCGUCUUGUCUCCAGUUCGCUGGAGACUCGCCUUAAAGUAAUUGGCAGCCGGCCUACUGGUUUCGGAGCGCAGCACAAGUCGCACUCUCUAUCAGCAAAGGUCUAGCAUCCAUUAAGCCUUUUUUUCAACUUUUGACCUCGGAUCAGGUAGGGAUACCCGCUGAACUUAAGCAUAUCAAUAAGCGGAGGA